AAAUUGAAGAGUUUGAUCAUGGCUCAGAUUGAACGCUGGCGGCAGGCCUAACACAUGCAAGUCGAACGGUAACAGGAAACAGCUUGCUGUUUCGCUGACGAGUGGCGGACGGGUGAGUAAUGUCUGGGGAACUGCCUGAUGGAGGGGGAUAACUACUGGAAACGGUAGCUAAUACCGCAUAAUGUCGCAAGACCAAAGAGGGGGACCUUAGGGCCUCUUGCCAUCGGA
This 228-nucleotide ribosomal RNA is filed under the name Shigella dysenteriae. RNAcentral describes it as "partial 16S ribosomal RNA". It matches the Rfam family "Bacterial small subunit ribosomal RNA", at positions 1 to 225 of the family's 1533-position model. Lineage: Bacteria; Pseudomonadati; Pseudomonadota; Gammaproteobacteria; Enterobacterales; Enterobacteriaceae. The record is from RNAcentral.